GGUUAAUGAGAUAAUUAUAAAAAAUGAUGACAUUUCUUUUUGAAGAUUGCAUGUGGGCAAUCAGAUAUGUCAGGAGCUCAGGAUGUGAGGCAGCAGUAAAACGCAAAAGAUGAUGACGUUUUGAGAGUGUUCUUAGAGAAUUUAUAUAUUUUCCUUUUUUUUUUUCCCUUCUCAUGUACAUAUCUGAAAAAUAAAUAAAUGAGAAAGGAAAAAUGCAGGCAGGUUUGAUCUGUGCUUGCCUUUGUUGAAUCUCAGGUUUUGGCUUCUUGAAAUAGGGGAUUGAGAGCAUAAUGUUAAGUUCAGGGAAUAAUUUAAGCUGGGGAAGUGCCACAAUGUCAUCAGAUGUUCCACCCUUGACACAGUGCUUAUCUUUGGAACCAAUUACAUUAGGCUAUCAGAAAUAUACUCGUUCUGGAGAGGUUAGGCGGGUUUUGGGUAUCCCUCUUGGAAGUGCAUCAGAGGACCAUUCCUUUGGAGUUGCUCAUCCCAAGCCUCCACCUCCGGUGGCAACAGAGGAACUAAAACACUUUAAAGAAAGUGUGCAAGAUGCUUGUAAAAUGGCCAGGGAUAGAGCAAAAAUGUUGCGUGAUUCCUUGUUCAAAUUGGAUAAGUAUAGGGAAGCCUUAAGCUCAAAGAAGCGACAGAGGAGUGAACUUUCAUUAAAUGAGAGGUCAAAUGGAGCAAAUGCAGGAAAGAUGGGGAGUCAGAUUCAUAGAAAUUCUCAUGACAUUAUGACUCAGAGAUUGGAAGACAGGGCCAAGAACGUUGGGCUGAAUAAGCGUGUUCGUACAUCAGUGGCUGAUGUGCGGUCAGAUGGUAGGUCCAGCACUCCCUCAAGGCAGCAGAUGAUCAUGGAAAAGGGUGGAGAUAUGCUCCAGGAUGCCAGUGGGGUUACUGUUAAGUUUGAAGAAAAGAUCCAAAGAUUACCUGCUGGAGGUGAAGGAUGGGAUACAAAAAAUAAAAAAAAGCGUUCUGUUGGAUUGGUAGGUAGUAGAGUUAUAAAUGGUGACCGAGAUCUAAAACGAUCUAUGCAUCCAAAGAUUAGUGCGGACUCUAAGUUGCGAUCUUGUGAUGCUCAGAGUUUCAGAUCAAAAUCUUCACCGGGUGUUGGUGGAAUCAACAAGUUGGAUACUACUUUAGAGCCUAGUGGUUCAGACACCAGUACAGUAAUCAGGAAUGAAAUGGAUACUGGAACUCUUUCAAGAGAUCGUUUGGCCCUUUUAGAGCAGAAAGUUGUGACAAAAGGAAGCAAUAAGCCAAAUAUUCAUGAAGAUAAUUUAGCAAGCGGUCCUAAUACAAUGAUAAAAGCAAAGGUUUCUAGGGGACCACGUACCAUGGUGUUAGACUCAUCACUCAAAGUUCAUUCCUCUUCAACAUCUCUUCAAGGUGCGGAACAGCCUACAAGUUCAAAUAAAGUUGCAGUGCCCGGUUUGGUAAAUAAUCAUAGGCGUCAAAUGUCUGCAGGCUCAUCUUCCAUGGCUCAGUGGGUUGGUCAGAGGCCACAUAAAAACUCACGUACGAGGAGGGCAAAUGUAGUUGCUCCUGUUUCAAACCAUGUUGAGAUUCAGAUAUCAUCUCAGGCCAAUGAUUUUACUGCCAGAACUUCCAUUGGAAUCAAUGGAUCAAUAGUUGCUAGCAGCAUAGACAAUAGUACUCCCAAGUUUAAAAGGGAAAUUGACAGUGUUCCAUCUCCAUUUGGGUUUUCUGAAAGUGAAGAAUCAGGUGCUGGGGAGAAUAAAACAAAAGAUAAAGGAAUAGAUAAUGGUGAGGUUGCUCUGACUGCACCUCAUAAAGUUGGUGCUUUUCUGUUGCCUGCUCAGAAGAAUAAAUUACGUACUAGUGAGAUUGGGGAUGGUGUGAGGAGACAAGGAAGGAGUGGAAGGGGUUCAUCUCUAACAAAGCCAGCCAUUCAUUCAGUGAGAGACAAAUUAGAGAAUCUACCAACUACAAGGCCAAUUCAGAGUGUGAAACCUGCUUCUGAUAAGAAUAAAAGCAAAACUGGUCGUCCACCUUCGAAAAAGGUGAAAGAACGGAAGUCUUUAGCUCGUGUUGGGCCAUUGGUUAAUAGUGGAUCUUUAGAUUUCACAGGAGAAUCUGAUGAUGAUCAUGAAGAGCUAUUUGUGGCUGCCAAUUCUGCUCGGAACGCAAGCAACCGUGCGUGCUGUGGUCCAUUUUGGAAGAAAAUGGAAUCUAUUUUUGGUUCUGUCAGCUCAGAGGACAUGUCCUACUUAAAGCAACAGGUGCUUUGGCUAGGCAGAUAGAUUUGAGGUUUAUGAACUUUUAUGUGUCAUGGACUUACAAUUUCUUCUUGUUUCUACUUCUUCGCUGUUAAAUCAGCUAACUUUUGCAGAGGAGCUUGAUGAGAGUUUGUCUCAGAUGCUUGGUGGUGAAUAUAAUCUUUUGGUAAUGAAUUAAUAUUAAUUUUUUUAAAAAAAUGGUUUCUUUCCCUUAGACUUCUACACUUCCUUGUUGGGAUAAGAACGGUUCAGACUAAUUAUUCAAGUCUAUGCUAACUUUCUAAUACCAAAAAUCAGUGUUCAAUCCCAAGUAAACUCAAAUGAUAUAAAGCAGAAAACCCUCCCAGAAAUUUUGUUUUUGGGACAAGAAUUGUUAACCUUAUUUCUGUGUUGCAAGAUUUGACUGUAUCAACAACUUUUCCCAGUCAAAUAAACUGUAUCUUGGUGGUAUGAGAUGACUUGUUAUCACAUUUCACUGGUGCAUGGAGGUCUGCCAAAUGUUAGGGAGUACUUGUUUGCAUAUAUUACAUAGCUGUCAUUGUCAUUGUAUCAUCUUCUCUCUUCUUUUUAUUUUUAUUUUAUAUUUUUUUUAUAAUUUCACACGGGAAUGAAGUUUAGCAUUCUAAAUAAUUCUGAACUUCAUUCUUUUAGGGUGUUCUUGUGCAUAAAGAAAUGACUGAUUAUUCUGGCGAAAGACAAGGUGAUGACUCUAACCAAGAAUUAGACAAGAAAGCUUCUUUAUGUGGAAAGAUUGACAUGGGAAGAUUGGAAAAGGGUGAUCCACUGUACCAGAGAGUUCUCUGUGCUUUGAUUGAAGAAGAUGAAAGUGAAGAAUUUUACAUCCACGGUGAAGGGAAGAGUAUGCCAUUUCACUAUGCUAGUGACGAUUCUCAUUGUGGUUCAUGUAAUCUGAUUGAUAUUGAACCCAAAGAUAGGGACAGAAUGGAAUCUGAAGUUGAGUCAAAAGUGAAUUUACAGACCCAGAAGAAUUGUUUGUUGGACAGAGUUUCAUGUGAUAAAAGUGUUGCAUCCAACACAAUUAGGAACCCUAGCAUGUCAAAUUCAUUGCAUAGCAGUGAACGGUGGCCAGGGGAUGAUGAUUGCUCACAUUCGGAGAUUGGGCAUGCCGGUGAAAUAUGUUCAAAUGAUAUGAGUCAACUGCAGACAAGGGAAUUAAAUACAACUGGCUUCCCUUCUUCUGAUCACAAGUAUCAGCUGAUGUGUCUUGAUGAUAGGGUUCUCCUGGAGCUACAGAGUAUUGGUUUGUGUCCAGAGACAUUGCCUGAUCUGGCAGAUGGAGAGGAAGUUAUUAAUCAAGAUAUAAUGGGACUUCAGGAAGGGCUAUACCAAGAGAUUGGAAGAAAGAAAACGAAGUUAGGGAAAAUUGGUAAGGCUGUGCACAAAGGGAAAGAAGUGGAAAAAAGGAACAUUGAACAGUUUGCAAUGGACCAACUUAUUGAGAUGGCUUAUAAAAAACGACUGGCUUGCCAUGGGAAUACUUCCUCAAAAAGUGCAGUCCGCAGAGUUUCAAGACAAGUUGCACUGGCUUUUAUCAAGCGCACUCUUGCUAGAUGUAGAAAAUUUAAGGACACAGGGAGCAGUUGCUUUAGUGAACCUGCAUUACUGGAGGUCAUCUUCUCAACACCUCCGAGCAACAAUGAUGCCAAAUCUGUUGAUUGUGUUGGCUCAGGAACUGCAAGUAACACAUGCAAUGAAGUUUCUAACCAUCAUGCUGAAGCCAGAGGCUCAGGUGCUGUUUCUAGUGCUUUGGAGAGAGAUGAUUCACAUGGUGAUUGCUUUGAUGGAGGUAAGAAGAGGGAAGUGCUUAUUGAUGAUGUUAUCGGCAGUGCUUCGUCGAGAGUUACAUCAACUCUUGAUAGUGCUGGGCUUGGUGGAGUAAAGGCUAAGAGAAGUGACACAGAAAGUUAUCAAAACAAGGAUAGUAUAAGAGGUAAUUCUGUUUCUGGAACUAGUCGCUCAUCAGUCGAUGGCUUCAAAAGUGAGUGCAAAACAAAAUCCAAGACCAAGCAAAAGAGUAGUCAUUUGUCAAAAACUGGAAAUGGACCUCGCGGAUCUGGUCUUUCAGUAGCUAAUGCUAGCCAUAAAAUAGACACAGAAUUUGGUUCAGUAUCUCUCGUUAACAUCCGUCAGGAAACUUCUAAAGAGGCUGAUGAACCCAUUGAUUUCGCAAACUUGCAGCUGCAAGAAUUAGAUACAAUUGGAAUAGAAGUAUCCACUGACCUUGGCGGGCCACAAGAUCUCUAUUCAUGGUUGAAUUUUGAUGAUGAUGGCUUACAAGACCAUGAUUCCAUAGGUCUCGCAAUACCAAUGGAUGACCUUACAGAAUUGAAUAUGAUCAUGUAAGAGAAAUUUGCACUCUUCUUUUUUGGUUGAGCAAAGAUUCAAGGGACCAUUGAGAGAUCAGAGCUAGUGUAGCCCAGGCAAGUAAAUCGAAGAUUGCAACUGUAUAUAAUUUGUAGGUAAAUUGAAUGUUAUUUUGAUUAUUUGUGUGAAUUGAACAUCUGUGCUUCCCAUAUGCAUGUAUUCGUAUGAGAGGUGUAGGAUGUAUAAAUACAUUUAUCUUCUCAUUUUAUGUAGUAGCUUGCCUAAGAAUCCAUAGCAGGUUGUGGUACGUUUCUGAAACAGUGAUGCCAUUCUUCAAGGGAUUCAGGAGAUUUUUCUG
Molecule: unclassified non-coding RNA, 4920 nt
Filed under: Hevea brasiliensis (rubber tree)
Lineage: Eukaryota; Viridiplantae; Streptophyta; Magnoliopsida; Malpighiales; Euphorbiaceae
Source: RNAcentral